This 665-nucleotide ribosomal RNA is filed under the name Bacillus pumilus. Its description in RNAcentral is "bacterial SSU rRNA". It matches the Rfam family "Bacterial small subunit ribosomal RNA", at positions 125 to 785 of the family's 1533-position model. Lineage: Bacteria; Bacillati; Bacillota; Bacilli; Caryophanales; Bacillaceae. The record is from RNAcentral.
UCUGCCUGGUAGUGGGGGAUAACCUUUCGAAAGGAACGCUAAUACCGCAUACGUCCUACGGGAGAAAGUGGGGGAUCUUCGGACCUCACGCUAUCAGAUGAGCCUAGGUCGGAUUAGCUAGUUGGUGGGGUAAUGGCCCACCAAGGCGACGAUCCGUAACUGGUCUGAGAGGAUGAUCAGUCACACUGGAACUGAGACACGGUCCAGACUCCUACGGGAGGCAGCAGUGGGGAAUAUUGGACAAUGGGCGAAAGCCUGAUCCAGCCAUGCCGCGUGUGUGAAGAAGGUCUUCGGAUUGUAAAGCACUUUAAGUUGGGAGGAAGGGCAGUAAGUUAAUACCUUGCUGUUUUGACGUUACCAACAGAAUAAGCACCGGCUAACUUCGUGCCAGCAGCCGCGGUAAUACGAAGGGUGCAAGCGUUAAUCGGAAUUACUGGGCGUAAAGCGCGCGUAGGUGGUUCAGCAAGUUGGAUGUGAAAGCCCCGGGCUCAACCUGGGAAUUGCAUCCAAAACUACUGAGCUAGAGUACGGUAGAGGGUGGUGGAAUUUCCUGUGUAGCGGUGAAAUGCGUAGAUAUAGGAAGGAACACCAGUGGCGAAGGCGACCACCUGGACUGAUACUGACACUGAGGUGCGAAAGCGUGGGGAGCAAACAGGAUUAGAUAC